RNAcentral lists this ribosomal RNA (460 nucleotides) under uncultured bacterium. RNAcentral describes it as "partial 16S ribosomal RNA". It matches the Rfam family "Bacterial small subunit ribosomal RNA", at positions 338 to 795 of the family's 1533-position model. The record is from RNAcentral.
CCUACGGGUGGCAGCAGUGAGGAAUAUUGGUCAAUGGACGAACGUCUGAACCACCCAAGUAGCGUGAUGGAUGACUGCCCUAUGGUUUGUAAACUUCUUUUAUAAAGGAAUAAAACGAGGCACGUGUCCCUUUUUGCAUGUAUUUUAUGAAUAAAGAUCGGCUAACUACGUGCCAGCAGCCGCGGUAAUACGGAGGAUCCGAGCGUUAUCCGGAUUUAGUGGGUUUAAAGGGAGCGUAGAUGGGUUGUUAAGUCAGUUGUGAAAGUUUGGGGCUCAACCGUAAAAUUGCAAUGGAUACUGGCAGGCUUGAGUACAGUUGAGGUAAGCGGAAUUCGUGGUGUAGCGGUGAAAUGCUUAGAUAUCACGAAGAACCCCGGUUGCGAAGGCAGCUUACUAAACUGUGACUGACAUUGAUGCUCGAAAGUGUGGGUAUCAAACAGGAUUAGAUACCCGUGUAGUC